AUCUCGCGGUCCGUGAGUUUGAGCCCCACAUCCGGCUCUGGGCUGAUGGCUCAGAGCCUGGAGCCUGCUUCCGAUUCUGUGUCUUCCUCUCUCUCUGCCCCUCCCCCGUUCAUGCUCUGUCUCUCUGUCCCAAAAAUAAAUAAACGUUAAAAAAAUAAAAUAAAUAGGCCUAAGUUUGUAAUUCUGGGAAUGUAUUUGUUUUUUAAUUAACAUCUAAGAAAAACUUGGUCAAUCUUGUUUCUUCUGCCUUUUUCCUGCUAUAUUUUAAAGCAGACCUUUGCUAAUAUGGCAUUUCACCAUACAUACUUCCUUACUGGCAAUUUAUUUAACCUCUGGGGGCCCUCUCUACCGAAAUGGAGAAAAUAUUCCCUGCUUUAUUAUUUCAUUAAAAAACUCUGUGAGGUGAAAACAUUUUGGAAGUAAGAAUGCUAACAAAAUGAAAGCACUACUGAUUCUAGAUUAUGUCAGGGUGUCCUCUCCAAGGUAAAAACUCUGAUUUGUUUUAAAAUGAAAGUAGUGAGGGACACCUGGGUAGCUCAGUCGGUUAAGCGGGCAACCUUGGUUUUGGCUCAGGUCAUGACUAUCUCACAGUGUGUGGGUUUGAGCCCUGUGUCGGGCUCCCCGCUGGCAGUGUGGAGCAUGCUUGGGAUUCUCUCUCUCUCUCCCUCUCCCCCCCUCUCCUCACUUGCCCUCUCUCUCAAAAUAAAUAAACUUAAAAAGUAUUCUAGAAAUGUGGGUGUGCCUACAGCACUCAUACUGUAUUGAAAAAAAAUGAAAAUAGUGAAUCAAGGGAUGCUUGGCUGGGUCAGUCGACAGAGCAUUUGACUCUUGAUCUUGGGGCCACGAGUGAAAGUUUACUAAAUAAAUAAAAA
Molecule: long non-coding RNA, 872 nt
Organism: Acinonyx jubatus (cheetah)
Lineage: Eukaryota; Metazoa; Chordata; Mammalia; Carnivora; Felidae
Exons: 2
Source: RefSeq, a predicted model, not a curated record